AUGUCCCUGGCCUUCCCAUAUGGGAGCACCAGGCCCAAUAACUUCUACUGCAAGCACCUGUGACUCUUUGCCUGUGGGCUUUCUCUGACUGCUGGAGUGUGCUCAGCCUGGGCUGGGGCAGAUCAGAAGCAUGGAGAGCUAGUGCCCUGAGGGUAGACCCCAAAUGAAGACUGAUGGGGCUGGUGAAGCAAGACCUCAGUUCCUCACUUCUCAGGGAUUAAAACACUUAUCUCACAACAUCUUUGGGAGGAUCAAAUGAAAUAAUAAAUGUGAAAGUGCUUUGUCAACCAAAGACUGCUAUAAAAAUAAAUGUAGACCGAGGUUGAGGCUAUCGUUGCAGAAUUGUAAUCUCUGCACUUGAAAUUGAUGUGGAUAUGCAAGCAAAUGAAAGGAAAAUGAAAGAUUUUUUCCCCUGGAAGAGACCCCUCUUCGCCCAUCACUACAUGUCAGACUGAAGAAACAAGGAUGCUGAAUCCCCAGCUUAAUGCCAUCCCCUCUCGAACUAGGAACUCAUUUGUUCAAACUAAGAUUUCAAGAUGAAACUCCAAUCAGCAGUCCCCGUGAAAGUAUCAUUUCAAUCCAAAGAUUUUUUGAAGGAUGGACUGAUUAAAUAAUGAGUUUAGAAAUAUAAAUAAAGAAGUAGGACAGCAAAGUAAAAAAAUAAUCCCCUGGGAUUUAGAAUUGAUACAUUUAGGGCCUAAAAAUAAGAAAAAAAAAAUUAAAUAGCAAGUACUCCAAGAGUGUAAAGUUCUUAAAGACAUUAACAAUGGAUAUGGUUUUACUGUUUAAUUCCCCCUUGGACUAGCCCCAUUCUCCUCCCUGAGAGAAUGAUGGCUUCUCUUAAUUGAAGGCAGCGUAGAUGUGACUUUUCGGAGUGGGGAAGAGAAUAAAUCAAAAGGUACACCCCUGUCCUCCUUAAAAAAUAUUCUUCACCUGUCCUUGAAAUUUUAGGCUUU
Molecule: long non-coding RNA, 956 nt
Filed under: Equus caballus (horse)
Lineage: Eukaryota; Metazoa; Chordata; Mammalia; Perissodactyla; Equidae
Description: lncRNA (ENSECAG00000046138.1)
Source: RNAcentral